RNAcentral lists this ribosomal RNA (492 nucleotides) under uncultured bacterium. RNAcentral describes it as "partial 16S ribosomal RNA". It matches the Rfam family "Bacterial small subunit ribosomal RNA", at positions 29 to 507 of the family's 1533-position model. The record is from RNAcentral.
AGUGAACGCUGGCGGUAGGCCUAACACAUGCAAGUCGAACGGCAGCACAGUAAGAGCUUGCUCUUACGGGUGGCGAGUGGCGGACGGGUGAGGAAUACAUCGGAAUCUACUUUUUCGUGGGGGAUAACGUAGGGAAACUUACGCUAAUACCGCAUAUGACCUACGGGUGAAAGCAGGGGAUCUUCGGACCUUGCGCGAUUGAAUGAGCCGAUGUCGGAUUAGCUAGUUGGCGGGGUAAAGGCCCACCAAGGCGACGAUCCGUAGCUGGUCUGAGAGGAUGAUCAGCCACACUGGAGCUGAGACACGGUCCAGACUCCUGCGGGAGGCAGCAGUGGGGAAUAUUGGGCAAUGGGCGCAAGCCUGAUCCAGCCAUACCGCGUGGGUGAAGAAGGCCUUCGGGUUGUAAAGCCCUUUUGUUGGGAAAGAAAAGCAGCAGGUUAAUACCCCGCUGUUCUGACGGUACCCAAAGAAUAAGCACCGGCUAACUUCGUG